Molecule: transfer RNA, 71 nt
Filed under: Planctomycetota bacterium
Lineage: Bacteria; Pseudomonadati; Planctomycetota
Description: Planctomycetes bacterium (soil metagenome) tRNA-Thr
Rfam family: tRNA
About the family: Transfer RNA (tRNA) molecules are approximately 80 nucleotides in length.
Source: RNAcentral
GCCCCUGUAGCUCAAGCGCAGAGCACCGGUCCUGUAAACCGGCGGUGGAGGUGCGACCCCUCCCGGGGGCU